CAAAAAGUACCGGUCCGAUACAAAGAUAAUUAUAGUUCUCGGGCAACCAAAAGAGUAGAAUAAUAAAUAAAUCAGACCUUCCUCUUCCCAGCCUUAAAAACCUCAACAUGCCAGUAAACGUUUCAGAUUGAUGAAAAAAUCGAUGAACCGCUCUUAAUCUGAAUAUUUCAUACCUCUUCUAGCUUCUUACUGCCCCGUGAACCUAAGUUGGGGUGAUGCCUGGUCUGUCUUUCCAGUGCCACCAGUUCUUGAAUCGUGGUCGGAGCUUCCUCCACCCACCAGGCAUCCCGUUUUCGACUGAAUCUUUCUCUAGCCAAUAGGUGAGCUAUUCAAUUUCCCCCUUUUUAUGUGUUGAAACUUAAUCAUUUCGGGCCCUAUUGAGAAUUGUUUCACAUCCCAAAGAAAAUUGCUAAUCUCUGAUCUGUCGGUGCAUGUCGCCUUCAGCUUCUUUAUCACCACCGUGGAGUCACCUUCGACCUCCAUAGACUAGAAGCCUGUUUCUUGAGCAAAUCUGAGGGCUUGGAUGCUCGCCAAGGCCUCUGCUAUCAACACAAUUACUGCAUCCCCAGCGUACCAACAUCGGAAGUGAAAAUAGUACACUAAAUAUAUGAAUUAAGGUAAUGUCCGCAAGCAGUAUAUAUAUGUUAGGUUGUAAUAUAGUUUGUUUACAACGAAAUAUUUAGUAAGUAUUUCGAGGAUCGUUCCUUAAGGAUUGUAAUUUGAGAAAAACUACUAUUAAGUCAAUUACAAAAAAUAAUUACUAGUCUACUUGAGUCACGAGUUAAUAGUGUUAAUCUGGAACCAAGAUGAUAAUAAUAGUAAUAAUAAACUAAAUGAAUUGAACUAAACCUAAAUCUCCUCCUAAGUUCAUGGAUCGACUUCUCCUAUCUUUUGUUUCGACUAUGCGAGUUCCUUUAGUUUAGAUACAAUUGUUUUACCUGUUUAAUUAUUAAUGUAGGAUUCUAAAUAGUUGGUUACUAAUUAACCUAAUAGGGUUUUUCAGCCUUCUACUAACUUAAUUAGUCGGAAAGAACUACUUACCUCUCAAUGACACAGUUCAGGUUGGGGCAGGGUAAGGUUUCCACAGAUAGACAAUGUCGAUUUCGGGUUAAUUCCCACCUAUAUGACUUCUUAAGGUCGGUAAGUUUAGGGUUUAAUUUUUUCCUUUCCUAACUACUGAUCUGCUGAGUGAUGCUUGGUAGGAAUAUCGAUUUCAGGUUCAUUCCUACCUAAAUGACUUCCAAGGAUCAUCAAUCCUAGCAUUUAAUUGCACUCAACUAUAUCUAACCAAUCUACAUUGAACUCUACCUGUCAAUCAAUUAAUUAGAUUAGUACAAUUAAAACAUGCGAAAUAUGUAUAAAGUAUAAAUUGAUUCUAAUUUUUACACAAACAUUCAUUUAACAAUGUUAAAGAAAAAAAUAUAAAGAAUAGAAUAAAGGAAAGAGAUGCUCAUGGAUUUAUCGAUGAAAGCAUAACUCCAGAACAAUAUCCGCUUGUAAAAGUCUCACUUCGAAAUAGGAUCUUCAGAUUACAAGAACAUAAUGUAAACUAAGUAAAAAUUAAGAACGAGAAUAAAAACCUAAGAAUCAUCAUUUCAAGUAAGGACGGCUAAGCAUGUUAAUUUAGGUUGUGUAGACGAAAACAUCUUUGAUUAUUAAAUUGGCCUCAUCGUAGCAAUGUCAUGACACCCUCAAGCUUGUGUCGUGACACUGUCUCGCCUGUGACGCUACAUCCUCGGUAGACUGCUCUUUCGGUAUUUUGCUUAUUGUGUUACAAUAUCCCAGCUCCGUGUUGCAACAUCGGGAGCAGUCUAUGAUCUUUUUGCCCUCGAAUGAUAUGUUGCACACUUAAUCAACAUGUUAGUAUCCCUUUUAUGCCCAAAUUGGCCUAGAAGGUCAUAAAACACAUAAAAAUGCUUCUUUUAUUCACUAGGUCCUAAAAAGGGAUACUUAAUAAAAAUUAUAUUAAUUUGCUAUAAGACUGGCACAUUAAGUAUAGAAUUGGGCCUAAUCUGCUACAACGAAUUGUGACAAAUCAAACUCUACCACAUUUAAGUCAUUGCUUGUCCUCAAGUAAUGUAAUCAUAUACUUAAAAGUAAAUAAAAAAAGACAAAAGAAAAAUAACAUGAUGACAAAAAGGAAAAAAAAAUUAGUUGCAAAUAAAAAUAUACAAAAAGAAAAAAAAUAAAAAAAAUAAAAGUUAGUAAAGAUGGAUGUAAAUAAGAACCUCAGACCUAAAGUCCCCUACACUUAACUUUUUACUUGUCCUCAAGCAAACCAAUUCUAAACAUAGUAUGUAAUAAGAAAACGCCCAUUGGAUUUUAUUACUACUAAGAACAUGAUUGUCAAAUAUUAAAGGUAUAAUGAUUCUUAUCGCACAUGCAGCUUAAUCUUGAUAGUUCAAUGCCUUGAAAACUUUUUAAAGUAAAAUUAAAUUAGUUUACAAAUUUACAUUGCUAACAACUUAGAAAUAAUUUCAUGACUAAAUGUGUAACAAUAUCACCAUUAAUAUAAAUCAAACACAUAUGUAGCAGACACAAUCAUGUGAAUAAUAAAAAUAUUCAUUAAAGUAUAAUUGUUAGCAAUUCUAGAAAGUUAUGCACAAAGAACAUUUAAGUCACAUUGGUCUUCUAGACUUCUAAUGUGCUGAGGCAUAGGACAGUAUGAGUUUAAAGGAAGACAUGGUUCAAACACUAGAAAUAGUUAGGCACAUGAAAUUGUUCCCUCUCUUCCCCCUAAGUGUCCCUUCCAAGCUCAUACAUUUUAUCUUCUUCUCCCACCUUCCUUAUCACUCCAUGUAGGAAGGCACAAUACAAUACUAGCAACUAUGGCAAGCUAAACGAGUUUUGGUGCACUGAUGACUUAUUUUUUUCUCAGUCUUGUGAAUUUUUUUUUGUCACAUGACUUUUUACUCUUUUCUCACUCACAAUUCUUCUGUUUAUGUUCUAAACUUUUUCUUCUCAUUUUUACUUUUGACUUUUUAUAGAUUUUUUUUUUGCACAUUUUUUCUUGUCCUAUAAUUACUGUAUCACAUUGUUUCUUCCUUUUUUGCUCUAAUAUUUUGAGACCACCAUGGUGUAUCUACCGAAACCCUCAAUAUCUAUGGCCUGUCGUUAUUUCGUAAUGUAUUAAAGGACCAAGGAUAGGGAAAGUUCAAAUUUUCAAUUUAUGUUUGGUUUUUGGGUUUCAAUUUCGUUGGUUCAUCAAAAAGGAGUUAUUAGACUCACAUAAGGAGACUAGGGGUUCAUAACAUUAAGGUAUGGUCAUUUGAGAACUGGCUAUUCAAAUAAUGCCUUAAGUUGUCCCUAAGCAUCCCGCCAUACAUAGCUUAUUUCAUGCUUCAAAUUAAACCAAAUAAAUAAUAAUCAAUUCAAGCAUUCAUUUUUCUACGACUAUCUAUAAGAUUUAUAUCUCACAUGGCAUCAUCAAACAUUUUUACUUAUGUGCUUCUAAUUUAUUAUGCAAUUUAACUAAGUAACCUAAUCAUUUUCCCUUAAAAAUAAUCAAAUUAUCUCAUACCAAUAAAAAAAAUUCUUGACAAAAAUCAUUACAUGAUUUAUUACGUUCAACCGUUAUUCACAACAUUAAUAGAAUCCAAGCACCAUGCAACAAAAACAAAAACUUUUUUUUUUGUAAAUAAUCAACUAAAACAAAGUAAAGACACAAAAGAUAACACAUAAAACUAAUCCUAUGUUCUUUCCCACAUACUUUAGAACAUACAUUGCCCUAAAUGUAAAAUAAUUAAAGUGCAAACAAGAAAAUUUCCUUGAGUAGGCCAAACCCUUAUUGUUAUGAUAAUCUUAGAAUUUGUGUGCUCCAAGCAGAUGUAAAAGUAUCUAUAAGAAUUCUACGAAAAAAAAAACUAUAAAGUAUAAUGUAAAGAAAAUAAAAAUAAAUAUAAGAAGAUGAAGAAGUGUUGAUAAUAAAUAAUAUAACAUCUAAAUAAAAGAAUUUAGAUAAACUUGACCUUUUAAUGUUGCGGUGUGGUGUUCUAUCUUGGAUGUCGUGUAACACCCCAAAAAUGAGUCUAGAAAUUUCGAGGGUAUUUUAGGAAUUCUAGCCUAUAUGUGUUUGAAAUUUUGUAAGUUUGGUAACCGAUGAUGUUUUCGACAAUAACUACUAGGAAAUUAAGUCAAUUUCUGAAAAUGAGUAUUAAAUACCUUUAAUUUUGAAAAUAAGACUGAAUUGUAAAAGAGUCAAAACUAAGAGUUUGGUUGUAAAUGAUAAAUUUCAGAUUGUGGAUUAAAAUGUGGUUUGAAAGUGUUUUUCAACUUGUUUUAACAUGAUUAGAAGACUUUUAAAUUUAUUUUGAAGUUUUGUUAAAAAUUUCUCAAGUUUUAAUGAAUUUUCAUCAUAAUAGCCAAAACUUGUCAAAAAAUGUCGAUACCAUGAACUGAGUAGUUUUGUAUAGUUUAAAAGUUGAGAACUAGUAAUAGAUGACUAUGUAGAGAAUGGAAUUCAUUUUCUACGAAAAGAUUAAGUGUAGGCCGAGAUAUUCGAAUUUAAAGUUUCUAUGUCGAAGGUUGUGGUGAAAAGAGAACGUAGCUUAGGCUAUUGUUUUUUACUGUUUAUGAUGAGUCAAUGACUGGUUGUUAAUUUUAUAUUUGUGUGGUUUGUCUUGUUGAAGUAUCGGAGUCAAUAGGACCUUCAACGUAUAGAAAACAAAAGCUUGCUUGAGCUUUCAAUUUUUCGAUGAAAGCAUAUUUCUGGUGAGUGUUUUGGAAUCACUACUCAUAGAUGAUUCAUUGUGUAAUUGGGAAUUUAGAGGUUAGCCUAAACUUCUACUUUAAAUUCCAAGUGUAAGUGUUCUCACACCUAUGAUUAAAUGUGAUAUAUGUGUGCUUGUGCAAUUGUGAAAAUAUGAACAUAUAUAAUAUGCUAUGACAUGUGCCAUAAGCUUGUGAUAACUAUUGUGAAAGAGAAUAUGUCGGUAUGUUAUUCAUGUCAUGUGAUAAUAAAAAUAUGGGUGUCCUUUGAUACCAUGUGAUAUUGAUUAAAAUGUGCUAACGAUGUGAAUAUACAAUGAAUAUGUGAAAUAAAUUUGUAAGUAAAUACGUAAUGAUAAUAUGGAUAUUUUGGCCUUAUGAUUUUAUGAGAUCGUUGGAUACAGUUGGUAUGUCAUAUGAUUGUGAGUACUCACCUUUGUGAUGUGAUUUUGGGGCAUUGAGACCCAAAUACAAUUUUCAAAGAGAUAAGUGAAUAUGAGUUAAGCUCUAUUCACCGAUAUAUGUGUGUUUGGUGUGUUGGAGAGUGUUAGCUAUAUGCUUCAUUUAUGGGACAUGAUCGAAUCUAUGAGUCAUUUUGGUGUGUUAGAGCUCCGUGUAUCUAAUGUGUAAUGAUAGAGUCCACAUUAUGUUUCAUAACCUCAAGAGCAAAACUAUCAUAAAAUGUGACUGAAUGUGAUUAAAUGUGAUUUAUAUAUGUUGUGAUAUAUACUUUAAUAAUAAUGUGGUUAAUGUAAUAAAUGUGUAAUAGUAUAAAUAGAAGAUAAUUAAACGAGUGAAAAAUGAUAUUAAAGUUAAAUAUGUUAUGAAUAUGUGACAUGUUUGCUUAGUCGAUGCAUAAUGAAUUGUUUGCAUAGUGGUUGUUCUGGGCAUUCACUAAGCUUGUUAAACUCACCUACUCAUUUUAAACCAUAAAAUAUAAGCAUUGCUGGUAUGAGCUGUGUGGUCUCAAAGGGUGAUCCAAGCUAGAAAUUUUAGUUGCUAUUACUAGGUGUUAUUUGAAUAUUUUUGUUUUGGGCAUAAAAAGGCAAUGUAGUAGAUGUUACGUUGGCUUUGCUAUGAUUUUUGGUUGUUUUCAUACCUAUUGUGCUUAGGAACUUUGGGGACUUUAAAUAUGAUGUUUGGGAUUGUUAUUUGAGACAUUUAGAUGUUUAUUUUAUGAGACAAUUGAUGCAUGAUGUUUUGAUCUAGUUUGGAAUGAUCUAUGUAAUGAUAUAUGUUAUGUUUCCAUUGUUUGGAAUAGAUGUAUCGAUAUUCAGGUUUUAAAAACAAUGCCUCUGCAAUUUUUAAAGUGCAAGAAAUCAGUUUCGCUAGUUGGUUUUAAAUUUUUGGCCACAAGUAUUGAUACUCGAGGUAAAAUUAUCGAUACUUUUUCAGUGGUACUGAUAUUUUCUGAAAUUUGGAUUUUUAAGACGAGAAACAGUAAGCUAAUUUGGCAUUGAUUUUCCAAGAGGUAACGAUACCACUUGAGAGAAUUAUUGAUACCACACUACCAAUUUCGAUACCUACGUAACAUAUUUGGGAAAUUUUGCUAAGUGCUAAUGCAUGUUGAAUACCUAUUUUAUGAUUAUUCAAUGAAUGUUUAGCAUGAUCCAACUUCCUUAGAGUGUGAAUGACUUAUGUUUCAUAUGAAUGCUAUUAUAUUAAAAAAAUGAUGCAUGUAUAAUAAUGUGACGAUUGUGAUAAAUACAAGUGGGAGAUAGUGGUGUAGCGUCCUAGUAUUCGGGCUCGGUGACCAGGCUGGGUAUAGGGCGUUACAUUUGGUAGUAUCAAAACCUAGGUUCAAUAACACUCAAACUUAGGUGAUUGUUGUUGAUAUGCUGAUUGGGGUUUCGCAACCCAUUGAUCUAGAAAUCCAAGUGAUUAAAUUAUUCUGAUUGCUUGAAUUGUAUAAGAUAUCUCUUGUUUGUAAUGUAUGUGUGGUAAGAAUGGGAAUACAUUGCCUUUAAUCCUAAAUUUUGCUUGCAGGAAUGAGACUUGGAUAUUUUCAAGUGAAGAAAGAUUACACCCAAGAAAGUGCACACUUAAGAAGAGUAUGCCCUAGAGUUUUGUUUGAGCACUAAGAGCUUGUCGAGUGUAUGAGGAAGUUCUAGGAAACUUAAUUGUCUUAAAGACUGUGCUGAACGUGAAACAUUACCAAAACAUAGUGGAUCUUUUAUCAGGUUUAGUUAGGAGUUGUUAGGAUUCUACAACAAUAGAAACAAAGAUCGAAGUAAAGAGCACAAUAGUAAGAUAUAUGAAAGAUUGUCUGUACACUAAAACAAGCCAACUAAACAAAUCAUCAUAGCAGUAUGGUUGGUCACUUAUGAACAAGAGUCAAUUGGAUUGAUUUGACCCUCCUUAUGACUAGUUAACAGUAAGUUAAACCUUUUUUGGAUUUGGUAGGGAAAUUAGGGGGACCUAGAUUAUAUUUAUAGGAAUGGGAUAUUUUGGAUGGUUUUCCUAUCUUCUUAAUGUUCAAGUUCUUCUUUCUAACCUCAACAUUUUAUUUUUCUUCUUCGUUAAGAUUAAACUAAGAUCUCAUUUAAUGAGUAUAUGAUUCAACCUUCUAAUAAGUCUUAAAACUUUGCACGUUACGAUUAUAGAAUGGAAAGGUAUUACAGGAAGACCCUACUUGUGGGUCACAUGUAGUUGAAAUUGUAAGGACUUAAAAGUUAGUGGAGUCAAAAAUGAUGGUUUCGGAAUGUCAUUUUUUAAUGAUAGAGUUUGUGAAUACUAUUUAUUAAUAUUUACGAGGGUAUUACAAUAUUAUAUUGAGGUUUGGUCUAAUAAUUUUAAUUAUUUGGAAAGUUAGACAAUGUACAAGUGUAUUGGUUCUAAAGUCAAUAGUUUUGGAAAUUGCGGUAUCAGUACUUUGUUUCUGUAAACUGAACUCGUAAAUAUUUAUAAAUAUUUAUGGAGUUAUACUAGAGGCGAAUUGAGUCUCGGUUAGGUAAUUUCGUAGAAUUAGUGUUUAAUUUAAGUACAGGGACUAAAUCGCGUAAGCGAUAACGUGUGAUUUACUAAAGAAUUUUAAUUAAAACUUAUUAAAGGGGACUUAAAAGGUAAUUAUACCAAUAGAUUAAUAAUGGAUGACUAUGUGGCUGUUUAAAAUGAUGAAUUGUGUUAUAAAUGUUAAUAAUAAAAAUAAUAAUAAAUGAAAUGAAAUUAAACAUAUUUUAAUUAAUAAAAUAAACUAGUGGAAUAAAUGAAAGACAUUUUCAUAUGUUCUUUCAUGCAAAAUUGAAAAGGAGAAGAACAGAAAAGGGAAGAAUGACAAUAUGGCUUAAAAUUUUCAACUUCAAAUUGGUUAGUGUAAUUUAGCCAUUUUCUCGUCAUUUUUAUGUUUUUGAAAUCCCAACACCAUAAACUAGCAGACCCAUGUUGAAUUUUUUAGGACUAUUAAAGCUUUUAGAUGUUACUAUUGUUGAGUAGUUAAAGCUUUAGGGAUUUAGUUGAUAGAUUUUUAGGUUAGAAAUGAAAGAUGACUAAAUUGUGAAGUUAACUGUUGACUUUGAGCAAUAGGGACCAAAUUGUGAAAGUUUCAAAAUUUAGGGGUAGUAAUGAGAAUUAUGGAAUUAAAUUUGACUUAGAGUGAAUUUUACCUUAAAAUUUAGGGUUAAAUGUGGAAGUUAAGUUAGUUCCGGCUUUAGGGGCUAAAUUGAAUAAAGUGUAAAAGUUGUAUAAUUUAGAAAUUAAAUGUGAAAUUAUUUGUGUAUUAAUGAUAUGUAUGGUUUAUUAUUUUCGUAUCUAUUGUCAACUCAAAUUCCUCAAAAAAUAAGGAAAAAGGCAAAGUAGUUGAUGAAUAGAUUAGAGGUUAUGGUUUGUGUUUCUAUAAUCUAAACUAUUUUAGAACGUUGCUUUUAUACAUUGCAUUAUUUGGUAAGUAUAUAUGUAUAUAUAAGGAGAGUUAUUCCUCUGAAAUAAUUUCAUGAGAUGUGGAUUUGAUAUGAAAAUAAGAUGGUUGGAUCUACAUGUCCGAGUCCGAGCCACGUUAAUAGAGGAAGUAAAUGGUAAACUAGAGAUAACUGUAACACCCUAGAACUCGGCGUAUAAGUUUAGACCAAAUCCCAGAGGUUACAUUGACCAUCGAAGUGAUCUAAAAGCGAUUUUACAAAAAACGAAUUGUUAGUAUCUCGUUUCGAACAUGGUUUGCUAAAUUUGAACUAAACCACUUAACCAUUUAAGAUUCAAAAUAGAAAGUUAAGUUACGUUAAAAAUGUUUGAAAAUAUAAUUCCGUAGUUUCUAAAAUUCAGUCCAAAAUAAAAAUUUACGAAAAUCCAGAAAUAAAACUUAAAUCAUAGUCCCUAUUAACACGUAUAGUCCAAAACAAUUCGAAAACUAAAAAAAAACUAAAAUGAAACAUUUUAUUUUAUAAAAUUAAAUCUUAUUCGUCUGAAACCUACGAUCACCUAGUCCAGCUCCAGAACAUGAGAGAACCUGAAAGGGAAAAACUAAGGGGUGAGCUACACGAGCUCAGUGUGAGUUUGAAACGUAAAUAAAAGACAAAUGAUGAAAUUUCAUAAACACCUAUAUUUCAGUUAAGAAUACACGAGCAAUGUAUGAAAAUCUUACACUGGAAGUCAGACACACGAACCAUUUCCAUAAGUCAUUCAUAGAGACAAACACUCUACUCUAUACACAUCGAAGUACUAAACACAUCAGAUUAUUAUAACGCAACAAUUUGAGGCUUUCACAAUAAAAAAUAAGCAUGAUGUUCCAACAAAUUUUUGUCAAACGAAUUUCAAUGAUACAGUAAAUGUAAUGAAUACAAAACCCACCCAAACCAUCCGAACACCACUUCAACCACCCUGCAUACCACUUAUGAGCUAUAUCAAAGCCCAUCCACCCUACACACUACGUAGGACCAUGUUAGGUCUAUCCACCCUACACACUAUAAAUGGUGGAACUAAGCCACUCUGAUAACAAUAUGCAGUUAAGCUGACAUAUGUUUCUUGUGAACAUACUGCUGUACAGAAAUAUUGUAGUUAAACUGCUCAAACAGAAUCCCUUUUCUUCACAACAAAAAUCCCAUAAUUUUUAUGCAAAUGCAAAAUGCACACUAUUUGUAGAUAAACAUAAAGAAACGGAUGGCAGAAUUAGAAAUACUCUUACUCAAUUACACAUGCUCAGUAUCAGAUUAACUAGAUUCUAUCAUUAGAUAGUGUUUCAAUUCAUGAAUCACAUUACAAACAUAAAUCACAUUACAAACACAUUUGAACAAACCGUAAAAUUAACGCUAUAGAUACGAAUAAUCGCAUGACUCUAAGCAGUAACAGAGUCCCAAACACUUAUAUGGAGGCCUCAACGGAUGUUAAAUGACACAAGAAUUGGAACGGGUCAAUUAACAUCACAAAACAAAAAUAUGUGAAACAGGGUCACACGAGCUGUGUGGAAAAUACCUAGGCUGUGUAGAGGUCUACACGCCUAUGUGGUGGUCUACACACCUGUAACACCCCUAACCCAUAUCCAUCGCCGGAAUAGGGUUGCGGACCAUUACUGAACUUAAUACUUAAACAAACAUACAUUUUUCAUAUCCAAAUAAAAGUCAUUCACAAUCAAUCAUAUUGUCCCUAAUACUAGCCCUCGAGGCCUAAAACAAACAUUAAAAGUGGUUAGGGACUAAACUAAGAACUUAGUGAAAUUUUGGAAAAAAAAUAGAAAACUUUCAAAGUAUAGGGGACACACGCUCAUGUGGCCAAGCUAUGUGUCUCACACGACCAAAAACACGCCCGUGUCACAGGUCGUGUUGACAUUCCAAAUGGGAUCAUAUGGCCGUGUCCCAACCCGUGUCUGACCCUAUGUAAAUCACUGACUUGAGUUCCACGGCCAACCACACGCCCGUGUGACUAGCCCGUGUACUUUUCGAAAAUGGCCUACACACUCGUGUAUCAGGCCGUGCAAAAAUUGGAAGGUAUAUUGACUUAUGCCACACGGCCAAACCACAUGCCCAUGUGCUAAGCCUUGUGAAGCUACUGACUUAAUUUCUAAAUAAGUACCAGGAUACACACGACCGCGUCACCUUGUCAUGUGUCACACAUGAUCGAGAAACACGCUCAUGUGGACAAAAAUAGGCUAUGUUUCAAGCUACAUUUCUCACCCAAAAAUGAUGUCAACCUAGGUUCAACAAUGCACAAACAACCAAAUGCAUAAAUAGGCACUUAUAACCAACCAAUUUCAAGCCAAAAUCAUAUACUACCCAUACCAACAACCAAGAUGCUCAUAAGCAUCCCAAAUAGCCAUUCAAAUUCAUACCAAUUUCAUAUCCAAAAAUCACCUAAAUGAUCAAACUCACCUAUUAGACUUAGUGCCUAAAUCUACAUGCAUACCUCAUUCUCAAAUUUAAUCAUUUUGUACUCAAAAUACCAAUUCACAACAAGGUAUUCACAUAGCAAUUAUAAACCAAAUAUUAAAAGCCAUUCACUCAUAUAUACAUAACCAAGUAUACCAAAAUAAGCCAAAUCACAUGGUUAUACACAUAACCAAAACAUACAUGUAACAUCCCGAAUUAGGGCCUAGUCAGAACAGUAGUUUUGAGACCAUAAAUUCAAAAUAGAAAUAAAUAUUUUAUGAUUAUUACGAGGUUUAUGAUAUGAUCCAUGCUUGUGUGAAAAUUCUAUGAAGAAAUUUUAUAAGUAAAGUGUCCAAUUUGACUUUAGGGACUAAAUUGAAUAAGUGGCAAAGUACGUGUUUCUAGAAGCUUUUAGUAUGAAAUAGCUUUGGAUUAUUAAUUAGAGAUUCUUAAAUAUCAAUUUUCCCAAUUUCUAUUUUUAUGGACAAAAAUGAGAAUGCAUGGAUAAAAUUUGAAAGUUUAGUAAAAAGGGAAUUUUGGUCAUUUGGUUAAUAAAAUAAUAAAAAGGGAAAAAUCAAGUAAAAUUUGCUCAUCUUCUCUAUGCCAUAGCCGAAAUUCUCAAACUCUUCAUAACUAGGGUUUUUUAACUUUUCAAGCUUGAUUGUAAGUGUUCCCUAACCCCUUUUUUAUGUUCUUUGCAUUUUUGAAGUCAUUGAAGCAUGAUCUAUCCAUUUCUAGCCAUACUUUGAGCUAGAGUUUAUGUAUGAAAUUUGAACCAUGUAUGACAUGUUUGUAUUUUAAUGUUUUAUGGAAGAAUAUGAAAGUUUGAUGUGUGUUUAACAUCUUUUACUAAGUGAUUUUGAUAGAAAUUCAUGGAAAUGACUUGUUUGUAAAAAGGUAUAAAAAUGAGUAGUAAAAUGUAAAAUAAAGGAAAAUGUGAGCUGAUAUGAGCAUGGAAUAGGUUCAGCUAGGCUUGGGUAACAAGGAAAAUGAACACAUUUCAUUUUACGAGCCUAGGGACUAAUUUGUAAAUAUGUGAAAGUUUAGGGGUAAAACUAUAAUUUUGCCUAAAUAUAGUUUUUGGACUGAUUUGAAUAAUGUGAUAAUUAAAUGAGCUAAAAUUUCUAUUAUAGAUCAAGAAAAACGGAGUCCGAACCUAGACAGGGGAAAGAACAAGAUUUUGGACUAAAUCGAAUUAAUUGUCCAUAUUUUGUACGGAGGUAAGUUCAUGUGUAAAUAAUGCAAUGUUGUAUCAAGUUUUAAUGCUUUAUUAUUGUAUUAAUUUCUAUGUUUAAUUGUUAUGAUGAGUUUAUGAAUGACAUAAUGGUCAAUGAGAACGACUUUGUGAACAAGUUCGAUGAAUAUGUGAUAUCGAGAAAAAUCUCGUUUGAACAUUAGGAAUAAUUUAAGAUAUAAUGUGACAUGUCACUAGGAAAUAUCUGAUUAUGAGCUCAUGAUAUGAUGUGUAUAUGUGACUAUGUGAAUUCGGGUGCUAGUCUUGUAUGUUCUACCGGUGGCUAGGUAGCCUAGCAAAUGUUGCGGGUACUUGUCAACUUGUGUGAGCAGCCCGAGUAGUUACGUCCUAACUGUCAGCUUGUGUGAGCAAGCCCGUGAUUAGCUCAAGAGCGAGCAAUGUGUGAUUGUGAUAUGUGGUAGCAUGUGGCUACGUUUGAAGCACUAUAUGCAAGUCUUCCGUGUAUCCGAUAGUAUUCUAAGUGUUCAAAGGGUAAACCUGUGAGUUAUUCGACAAGUAAGUCAAUGAUGAGGAAAUGUGACAAUGUGUUACGAUUUGGUACAAGUAUGUACGAAAAAAUUAUAUGAAUGAGCUCGGUAUGUGAUGAACUUUGGGUAAGAUUGAAAUUAUGUAAGUUAAGCCUAUGAAUUUAUGAUAACACAUAAGUAAACUAUGUUAUGUCAUUGGUAUUAUAUAUAUACUAUUAUGUUGCUAUUUAUAUGCAUGUGAACUUACUAAGCUUUAUGCUUACUCCCCUCUCUUUUCCAUUUUCUUAUAGUAUCACCAAGCUUGCUCAAGGAUCGAAGGACGUCGUAGGCUCGAUCACACUAUCAAUUGGAUAUUUGGGUAUAGUUUGUUUCAACAUUUUGAGUAUGGCAUGUAUAGGGACUUGGUCUAUUUGUUAUGUGUCAUAUUGAUUAGUCAAAUGUGUUGGCUCAUGAAGGUAUUACGAUUAUUUUGUAUAUGGCCAUGAGAGGUGGCUCGUAUUGAUUAUUAGGUUGUAACCCUAACUAUUGGUAUAUGCAUGCAAAUGUGCUUAGGCUUUAACGUGGUUAUGGUUGCUUAUGGCUAAUGAAUGUGAUGGAUGGC
This 13320-nucleotide long non-coding RNA is filed under the name Gossypium barbadense (sea-island cotton). Its description in RNAcentral is "long non-coding RNA (GBAR_LNC009445)". Lineage: Eukaryota; Viridiplantae; Streptophyta; Magnoliopsida; Malvales; Malvaceae. The record is from RNAcentral.